This 253-nucleotide ribosomal RNA is filed under the name uncultured bacterium. RNAcentral's name for it is "partial 16S ribosomal RNA". It matches the Rfam family "Bacterial small subunit ribosomal RNA", at positions 524 to 776 of the family's 1533-position model. The record is from RNAcentral.
UACGAGGGGGGCAAGCGUUGUUCGGAAUUAUUGGGCGUAAAGGGCGCGUAGGCGGUGCGGUAAGUCUGAUGUGAAAUCUCCGGGCUCAACUCGGAGUCUGCAUCAGAAACUGCCGUGCUCGAGUGUGGGAGAGGUGAGUGGAAUUCCCGGUGUAGCGGUGAAAUGCGUAGAUAUCAGGAGGAACACCUGUGGCGAAAGCGGCGCACUGGACCACAACUGACGCUGAGGCGCGAAAGCGUGGGGAGCAAACAGG